UGAGCAAUCUGCCCUUCUCUUUGGAAUAAGCGUUGGAAACGACGUCUAAUGCCGAAUACGACCUCCUUUCGCAUGAUCGGAGGUGGAAAGCUCCGGCGGAGAAGGAUGAGCUCGCGGCCUAUUAGCUAGUUGGUGUGGGUAAUGGCCCACCAAGGCGACGACGGGUAGCCGGCCUGAGAGGGUGACCGGCCACACUGGGACUGAGACACGGCCCAGACUCCUACGGGAGCAGCAGG
This 236-nucleotide ribosomal RNA is filed under the name uncultured bacterium. RNAcentral's name for it is "partial 16S ribosomal RNA". It matches the Rfam family "Bacterial small subunit ribosomal RNA", at positions 118 to 354 of the family's 1533-position model. The record is from RNAcentral.